GUAGGUGGCAAGCGUUGUCCGGAAUUAUUGGGCGUAAAGCGCGCGCAGGCGGUCCUUUAAGUCUGAUGUGAAAGCCCGCGGCUCAACCGUGGAGGGUCAUUGGAAACUGGGGGACUUGAGUACAGAAGAGGAAAGCGGAAUUCCAAGUGUAGCGGUGAAAUGCGUAGAGAUUUGGAGGAACACCAGUGGCGAAGGCGGCUUUCUGGUCUGUAACUGACGCUGAGGCGCGAAAGCGUGGGGAGCAGACAGGGAUUAGAUACCCUGGUAGUCCACGCCGUAAACGAUGAGUGCUAAGUGUUAGGGGGUUUCCCGCCCCCUUAGUGCUGCAGCUAACGCAUUAAGCACUCCGCCUGGGGAGUACGCCGCAAGGCUG
This 373-nucleotide ribosomal RNA is filed under the name uncultured organism. RNAcentral describes it as "partial 16S ribosomal RNA". It matches the Rfam family "Bacterial small subunit ribosomal RNA", at positions 527 to 896 of the family's 1533-position model. The record is from RNAcentral.